ACUCGAGUGGCGAACGGGUGAGUAACACGUGGGUGAUCUGCCCUGCACUUCGGGAUAAGCCUGGGAAACUGGGUCUAAUACCGGAUAGGACGAUGGUUUGGAUGCCAUCGUGGAAAGUUUUUCGGUGUGGGAUGAGCUCGCGGCCUAUCAGCUUGUUGGUGGGGUAAUGGCCUACCAAGGCGUCGACGGGUAGCCGGCCUGAGAGGGUGGACGGCCACAUUGGGACUGAGAUACGGCCCAG
This 241-nucleotide ribosomal RNA is filed under the name uncultured Actinomycetales bacterium. RNAcentral's name for it is "partial 16S ribosomal RNA". It matches the Rfam family "Bacterial small subunit ribosomal RNA", at positions 89 to 334 of the family's 1533-position model. The record is from RNAcentral. Lineage: Bacteria; Bacillati; Actinomycetota; Actinomycetes; Actinomycetales.